UUGGUGACCAGCGGAGGGAUCAUUACCGAGUUUACAACUCCCAAACCCAAUGUGAACCAUACCAAACUGUUGCCUCGGCGGGGUCACGCCCCGGGUGCGUCGCAGCCCCGGAACCAGGCGCCCGCCGGAGGGACCAACCAAACUCUUUACUGUAGUCCCCUCGCGGACGUUAUUUCUUACAGCUCUGAGCAAAAAAUUCAAAAUGAAUCAAAACUUUCAACAACGGAUCUCUUGGUUCUGGCAUCGAUGAAGAACGCAGCGAAAUGCGAUAAGUAAUGUGAAUUGCAGAAUUCAGUGAAUCAUCGAAUCUUUGAACGCACAUUGCGCCCGCCAGUAUUCUGGCGGGCAUGCCUGUCCGAGCGUCAUUUCAACCCUCGAACCCCUCCGGGGGGUCGGCGUUGGGGAUCGGGAACCCCUCAGACGGGAUCCCGGCCCCGAAAUACAGUGGCGGUCUCGCCGCAGCCUCUCCUGCGCAGUAGUUUGCACAACUCGCACCGGGAGCGCGGCGCGUCCACGUCCGUAAAACACCCAACUUUCUGAAAUGUUGACCUCGGAUCAGGUAGGAAUACCCGCUGAACUUAAGCAUAUCA
RNAcentral lists this ribosomal RNA (590 nucleotides) under Trichoderma erinaceum. Its description in RNAcentral is "eukaryotic LSU rRNA". The stretch from base 212 to 365 matches the Rfam family "5.8S ribosomal RNA". Lineage: Eukaryota; Fungi; Ascomycota; Sordariomycetes; Hypocreales; Hypocreaceae. The record is from RNAcentral.